UACGUAGGGUGCAAGCGUUGUCCGGAAUUAUUGGGCGUAAAGAGCUCGUAGGCGGUCUGUCGCGUCUGCUGUGAAAACUCGGGGCUUAACCCCGGGCCUGCAGUGGGUACGGGCAGACUAGAGUGCGGUAGGGGAGACUGGAAUUCCUGGUGUAGCGGUGAAAUGCGCAGAUAUCAGGAGGAACACUGGUGGCGAAGGCGGGUCUCUGGGCCGUAACUGACGCUGAGGAGCGAAAGCAUGGGGAGCGAACAGG
This 253-nucleotide ribosomal RNA is filed under the name uncultured bacterium. RNAcentral's name for it is "partial 16S ribosomal RNA". It matches the Rfam family "Bacterial small subunit ribosomal RNA", at positions 524 to 776 of the family's 1533-position model. The record is from RNAcentral.